This 1258-nucleotide long non-coding RNA is filed under the name Heterocephalus glaber (naked mole-rat). RNAcentral's name for it is "lncRNA (ENSHGLG00000035530.1)". Lineage: Eukaryota; Metazoa; Chordata; Mammalia; Rodentia; Bathyergidae. The record is from RNAcentral.
GCUGCUUUCCAGGUUUCUCAGCUGUAGUGCAAGUGGGCAUGUGCAAUUGAGACUGUACACCCUAGGUAGCUUUUCUGAGCCUUGGGGAACAAGCUAGCAAGAAAUCUAGGGCUUCUGCUGUUUCUUGUUGCAUCUCUGAAUUCACCAGUGUAGCAGAUUGGAUUCUCUGCAACAACUGCUGAGAUGGAAUUUGAGGAUGAAAGAUGGUUAUUAUGAAUUAACAUCUGUGGAGGGAGACACAGACAGGAUUCAACUCAACUCCAAGUUACUGUGGAGCAAGCAAUGCCCAUUAGGUUUCAGUUGUUUUCAACAGAAGGGCGGGUCCAAGACCAACUCCUCCAUCAGGACCAGAAGAGUUUAAAAAUUUUGGAAGUACAAAAGGCAGCAAGAAACCCAGACCACAGCUUGGAAUGUUUGGCUGUAGACCCUUUCUCAGGUACUGGGGAUUGAACUUGGGACCUUGCACUUGCGUGGCAGGCAGCAGAACCACUGAGCUAAAUCUCCAGCCCAAUGUAACCCAGGCUGGAUUGAACUUUCAACUAUCCUCUUGCUUCAGUCUCCCAAAUGCUGGGAUUACUGGUCUUUGACGGUACUGCCACAUUCCAUAAUCAUAUCUGCAAAAAAGACACAAGUAAAUGGAUCCUGUAUGGAUCUUCAGUUUCAUAUGCUUCUGACAGGUCUCAUCUGAAGUUUGCAAUGAUCUGGAUUGAGAUCUAAUGAUUACUGACUGUUAUCUGAUCACUGUAACAAGGCUACUGAGCCAAGGAAAGUAUCCUUUGACAAGGAUUGGUCAAGAAAACAUCAACAAUGCAGACUGUUCCUAAUAAUAAAACUGUUAUCAUUCCUUGAGUGCUUAAUAUUGGCAGAUCCCACAUACCCAACGUCUGAUUUAAUACUUUCAACAAUUUUAUGAGCCUUGUAGGACAAUCUUUAUUUUACAGAUAGGAAAAUUUCAGUUCACAGAAGUUUGAUAAUUUGCUUAAGAUAUAGCUGAUGAGUGGUUUGUCCCAAGUUUUGAUACCAAACCACAUGCCCUUGUCAUGACACAAAGUUCCCAUUCUUUUUGAGUUCCUUCACAGCUUUAAAUGCUUUCAUAUUAUCACAAUUGGCAAAAUGUGAAGACAUUCUGAAAAAAAACCCCUGCCAUGUUCUGCUCUGUACUUCUGAAAUAGCAGCAGUGGUUGCACAGAGAUCUCACUCUUUGAAGAAAGUCCUCCUUUUGGACCAGUGGACCCUGUGGUGCUGCCUUGCUCUUAUG